This 918-nucleotide small RNA is filed under the name Rattus norvegicus (Norway rat). Its description in RNAcentral is "uncharacterized LOC102547111". Lineage: Eukaryota; Metazoa; Chordata; Mammalia; Rodentia; Muridae. The record is from RNAcentral.
AUCUAGGGAGGAAAACAUCGAGAUUUAGUUUCCGUGUGGAUGAGUCUUAUGGAACAACCUCGUGUAGGUGAAGAUGAAGCUAGACCCAGACUGGAGCAGAAAUUCAAGCUGAGAGUAUCUGGAACCAUAGAAGUAACCAUAGAGUAAGGAGCCAUACGUGGUCAAGGGCUGACACUUUACCCCACGGAAGCUGAAGCAGGUGGAGACAAAGCUGUAUCAUUCAAUCUUAGACCCUUUGUUAAGAAAUGCCUACUUCUUGAAUGGAACUAAAUAUUGCCUUUGACAAGAUCCUGGUUACCACAAGACUCUUCUAAUUAACCCAGAAUAAUCAUGCCAUCUCACAGCAUCUCACGGUCGUGUCGUGUCAUCUCACAGAAGGGACAGUGGGAAUGAAGAACAGCUGCUCUCAUUGAGAAUGUAUCUAGUGGGUGGCCAACAUACAGUUCAUCCAUUCCCGUCCAGAGGAUAAGCACUUUGCAAGCUUGCUUGGAGAGGUCUGACAGUCAAGCUGGUAGAAAAGGGUGUCUCAGUUCAUCCGGGUCACCCAAGAGUGGAACAAUUGUGAGUCGCAUGCUUCUGGGGAAAAAAAAAAAACACUUCCCUUACACAUUAUCAAAGUAGCCCAUCUUCAUGUUAUGUAAUAAAAAUUUUAGGGGAGUCUGUAAGCAUUCAUUUUUCCAUUGUAACUUUAGGAUUUUUUUUUUACUAGCAAUGGGCUCAUUUUCAAUAAACGGUGAAAUAAAUACUCUCUAAAUUGGGGUGAAAACAGCACAUAACUGGAUUCCUUCCUACUACUUGCGACUGGGUUCAUUUCCCACUUCAGUACAGUGUAUGCAUAAACAAUGAUAUAAGGGCAGUAUCUUGUAUUUUGGGACUGGAAUGUUUUGAUGAUAGCAGUCCACUGAGCCCCGGAGUGGA